Long non-coding RNA from Pogoniulus pusillus (Red-fronted tinkerbird), 3033 nucleotides. RefSeq lists it as uncharacterized. Lineage: Eukaryota; Metazoa; Chordata; Aves; Piciformes; Lybiidae. The transcript is spliced from 2 exons. The record is from RefSeq and is a predicted model, not a curated record.
AGGUCAGUUUCAUAACUGAUUUCCCACCUCUUCCUUUGCAGUUGAAAAGGAAUACAUGGAAUACCUUAAAAGCUGAGAGAAAAGAAGACCAAGAUGAUCUUACGCAGCGUAUGAUCCAGGAGAUAGUAUUGCUGAGACAUUUCCACCUUGUGGAUGCUUAUUCUGGAACCAGAGAAAAGCUCUGCAAGUCUGGGUUUCCCAGAAGCCUGCAUCCCUCUACUUGAGCCAAGGGAUGGCAUUUAUGUACAGUUCUUCUCUGCAAAAAUACCAGCUGAUCACCAUGACAAAUGUUUUAUCAUUGGUUCAUGACAUGCUCAGCGUGGCCUUUCCUUGUGCAUUUGCAUGCCAGAAAGCCAACCAUAUCCUUGUCUGCAUCAAAAGAAUCACCACCAGCAGGUCACAAGAGCCGAUUCUCCCCCUCUGCUUCACUCUGGUGAGGCCCCACAUGGAGUGCAGUGUCUGGCUCCGGUGUUCUCAGUAAAAGAAAGACAUGGAACUGUUGGAGUGAGUGAGGAAGAGGGCCAUAAUAACAAUCAGUGGACUGGAGUUUCUCCACUGUGAGUACAAACUGAGAGAGUUGAGGUGUUCAGCCUGGGCAGACCCUACGGCAACCUUCCAACCCACACUGGAUGGGGCUUUAAGCAGCCUGAUCUAGUGGAAGGUGUCCCUGUGUGUGGCAGAGGGGUUGGAACUAGAUGGUCCUUAAAACUCCUUCCAGCCCAAACCAUUCUAUGAUUCUGUGUCUGCAGACUGGGUAUAGAGAAUAACCCAAAGCUGGACUUUCCAGAAUCUGCUCUGCCUAAAAACCCAGAGUGUUCUGCUGUUGAACCCACUGAAGAUCUCAGAAGCAAUAACCUUUUGGCUGCUGGGAACUUUUCAAAGGAAAAAACUCUAACUUGCUGACUUUGGUGUGCAGGGAACUCGAGUGACCAUAUGGGUUACCGCCUACAUCUUGCAAAGAACACUGGCAUCUCUUGCCAAGAUUUAGUCCUCAGAGGAGAAGGAAGUGACUUGCCUUGUGACCAGCUGGAAGCUGAAGGCUUUGAUUAGUUUAUAAACCAUUUUUAAAUCCUUUGCUUGUGCAGUGUUGUACUGAGUCACACUGGUGAGCUCCUGCUGCUGCUGCUGCCUUCCAACACUCUUACAUGUAUCAGCCUUACGGUGAGCUGCUACCAGUUUACCACAUGGUGUAUCAUCAAUUGCAGAAGUCACAAGAAGGUAUUUUGUAAGACUAAUGGAGCAUAUUUAAAAACAGAUAUAGAUGAGAAGUCAGGAUGGUGACCACUGACACAUUCCUGGCUGAAGAAGAAGAUAUGGUAGCAUAUAAAUGGGGAAGUAGUAUUGGGAGCUGUGAAGAUCAGGCUGAGGCAGUGGAACACUAUGCGUGAACUAGUACCUUAGCCUGGAAUGAGAAGGUGUGUACACUGAUUAUUUCUCUAAGUUCUGGGACAACCAAACACUAAAAUGCCUUUGUUGACCUUAGGUUUGCACCAUACAUGGCUUUACCAGUGGAUGCAAUUUCAGUGAAUCACAACAAAUAGCUUUAGUCUGGAAACUGGGCUUAGUUGUGUAGCCAAAGUUGCUCAUAGCAGGUAACUUAAAUACAAUACAUUUCAAAGUGCAUCAGAAUGUGUAUUUCACAGCAGCUUGCAUCAGCAGUGUCCAGAAAUCAGCAGUGUGUGGUACCAGUAAUGACUGAAAUGGAAGACAAGAUUACACUGGCAUGUUUUCUACCCAAAAAUGUUAAUGUCAAAUUCAUGAGUAAUCAAAUGGCUACAGUAAUUAUCUAAUCUGUUCCCUGUAUUUGUAUUGCUUGAAAUGUAUUUAUAAUACUCCUGCCAUCACAGGAUUUGUGAACAUUUGCUUUAGGCACUGCUCCUACACAUUCUGUACGUGCAAGCAGGCCUCACUAGCAUGCGUCAUUCCACCAAUGUCAGCAGAACUGUGGCAGAGGGGCAAGUUUAUAGAGCUCAUGAUGGGUUUAUGCGAGAUGCCUCAGGUGGUGCAUGUACUGUGCUGAUGUGUACAGCAUCCCUUUGUUGCUGAGAACAUGCCUUGCCUUUGUCUCUGCUGAGCAGCUUUGCCAGUAUGCCAUGUUAUCUGGACUGUGCUGUUUCCAGUAUCCAGCUUCUCCUCAGUGCUAGCUUUAUGGCUUUCCUUGAGGCACUCCUAUAAAACCAGAGUCACAGAUUAAAGAAGUCUGAUGCAGGCAGGAGACAAAAGGAGGCUGGAAUCCGGGACCUAAGCUCUCAAUAGAAGUUUCUUGGUAUGGGCUCAAGCCUGCAAAUGCUAACUGUUGAAUGAUCAAAGCAAAUGGGUAUUUUACAUUAAGAACAAUGGACCUUCUCUUUAUGGAUGCAUGUCUGUAUGUGCUUAGCCUGUACCACAUAUGUACUGGUAGAAAUAAUGUGAAAAUGUGAAGAUCCAUGUAAUUAAAAUCCCAGUCCCUCAGUGAUGCUGUUGACUGACCUGAUUUCCCUGCUAAGAAUCAUGAGUAAAUCUUCUAGAAAAACUACCAUGCCAAACGUUGUGUUGUGCUUAAUCCUGUACUUGUCCUUUAUGUGGUGCUCCCUUUGACGUCAGUGGAAACUCGACAUCUGAGAGUGCAGAGGAAUCAGGUUGAAUUGCUUCUUUUUUUAUAUAUAUAUUAAACUGAAGGAAGGCUUCUGAAAUGUGCAGGCAUCUUACUCCUUUCUACAACAAAAAGGAAUGUUUUCUGCUUUAGCCUUCAGGGACUGUUGCCUCUAUGGAUCUGUGGCAGCACGACUGGCUGCCAGAGAUUUAGAAGUGAUAGCUGGAAAGUACCUAUAAUGAGCAGACCAGGAAUUCCUAAUAGACCUGUGCACUCCCAUUUGGUGUUCUGCAUCUCAUAUGCCAGUGCCGCUUCUAAGUAACUUCUGUAUAUGCAGUUUUGCCUUCGUGUUUCCAUUUUGGGGCUGUUAAACCAUCUCGCUAAGAGGCUCGCAAAUGUGAGAGGACACACACUGUGUUUAUCUGCAGUAAGCAUUAAAUAUUUUCUGCUUACAAUCGAAA